Non-coding RNA from Salmo salar (Atlantic salmon), 1489 nucleotides. The record is from RefSeq and is a predicted model, not a curated record. Lineage: Eukaryota; Metazoa; Chordata; Actinopteri; Salmoniformes; Salmonidae.
UGACGAUUUUGUAUUUCAUGUUUAAUGUGCCUAGUUAGCUGUCGUUCAUUUUGUUACCUGUCCGGUCAUGUAAAAAAUGGCGUUGUUGUUUUAUUAGUAUGCCUCAGGUACAAUAGUACACUCGCAAAGAAAUAUUUAGCACUUAUUAGCAAAUGAUUAGUGUAUUGGUGUACAACAUUUUUAAAACGAAAUGUUUUUGUUGUUGAUGCUUUUACUAAUGAGUUUGCUCAGAGCGUGAUGAGGAGAGGCAAAUAUACUUGUAUGGGAGUCCAGACGGCAGCAUUAACUUUGCCUUGUAUUUGUAUCCAUUCCAUGCAGUCAUUACUAGAGGGACAAGCGGCAGAAUUGUGUCCAGAGCCUUGUCUUCCACCUACACCUUACCAGAACACAAUGCAGAAAGGACAAAGCUAACCCGUUCCCCUCUGCCCUCCCGGAGUCCCCAGGUCAAAUGUCUCCCGGUACUGCUUUACUGCUGGGUCUGGUUGACUGCAGGAAAACACUGGGGCAGAGUGGAACUAAGAGAGGAGGAAGAGAAGAUAAGGAAGAUGGAGAUUUGUUUUCAUUAAGGGACAGCCCUAACCGUUGCUCUCUCAGUGGGAGGGGCUUAUCAUAAGGGGAGCCUCAACAACAACAUGAUGCUGACAAGACGUCUCUCCAGAAGAGUCUCUCCAGAUCAGAACGUCUCAAUAAACACCAGCAGAGACUUAUAGGGAAGAAACCUCACCACCGCUGCUCUGACUGUGGGAAGAGUUUUACUAAACAGAAAAUUGGUCAUUCACCAGCGGAUUCAUGCUGGAGGAAGCCUUAUAGCUGUGAUAAGUGUGGGAAGAGUUUUGCCUGAGAUUUCACCGUGACCAAACACCGACUUAUACACACAGGAGAGAAGCCUUAUAGUUGUGAUCAGUGUGGGAAGAGCUUUAAUCAAUCAGCAGCCCUGAGCACACACCAAUGCAUACACGCUGGGAGACAGUAGUAAGGUGUAUGUGGAAAGAGCUUUGCUCAAUCAGGGUCACUGAAAAAACACCAGAAAGCACAAACAUGUUUUCUUUCUUCUCCCUCCUCUCAGUCACCGGUUCAAGAUGUCUAAAUAAAGUUUGAACAGAAAACAUGUUGUAAAGAGUCAGCUCUGGAACCAUAUGUAUCAAGCUUCUUGGAGUAGGAGUGCUGUGGGUUGGCGGUGGGGGUGUUCAGAGCUGUAUCUUAUUUCAGUAACUCCUAUUAUCCAUUAAUUAAUUGUAUAAUGUAGAAUAAUGUUUCAACAAUACAAGGUGUGUAUUCAUGUAUUCAAUAGAUCAAUAAAUUAAAUCCAUUAUCUGCUCAACAAUGUCUGCUUAUUACAUUAAUUAUGUUUUUUAAAUCUAAUCCAUUUUAAAUGGACCAUAGUACUCUUGUAUAAUUAGUUUACUCCUAAAAGAUGUUGACAUAUUUAUUUUUAAACCCUUCACCAGGUUUUAGUGCAGCUGAUGGGACAUACGGAAGUACAGAAGAC